This 76-nucleotide transfer RNA is filed under the name Bacteroides stercoris. RNAcentral's name for it is "tRNA-Asp". It matches the Rfam family "tRNA". Rfam says of the family: Transfer RNA (tRNA) molecules are approximately 80 nucleotides in length. Their secondary structure includes four short double-helical elements and three loops (D, anti-codon, and T loops). Further hydrogen bonds mediate the characteristic L-shaped molecular structure. tRNAs have two regions of fundamental functional importance: the anti-codon, which is responsible for specific mRNA codon recognition, and the 3' end, to which the tRNAs corresponding amino acid is attached (by aminoacyl-tRNA synthetases). tRNAs cope with the degeneracy of the genetic code in two manners: having more than one tRNA (with a specific anti-codon) for a particular amino acid; and 'wobble' base-pairing, i.e. permitting non-standard base-pairing at the 3rd anti-codon position. Lineage: Bacteria; Pseudomonadati; Bacteroidota; Bacteroidia; Bacteroidales; Bacteroidaceae. The record is from RNAcentral.
GGUGCGUUAGUUCAGUUGGUUAGAAUACAUGCCUGUCACGCAUGGGGUCGACGGGUUCGACGUCCCGUACGCACCG